UUGGCUAUGAGUUUGUUGACUGUGAUGUUUUUAUUUUUCAGGGAAAAGAAAACAAACCAUGGAUUUCUUUCUUUUCUAAAGCAUUUCUUUGUAUGAUAACCUCACAGUUGAGUGUAUACCUUGGUGAACCGUCCUUCUCCAAAACGUGGUAGUGGGAAUGAAGAACUGCUGAUCUGCAGUACCCGUUUUCUUGGGAUCAAGAGGCACGGUCUGCGGACAGGUAGAAUCCCCACUCGUGUGUGUGAAGCAGCAUGUGCCGUGACAUUGUGCAGCCACACAACAGCAGAGCUCUGAGUGCCAGCUGCUGGGAGCUGCCAUGGAGCUGCCUGCACCCAGGCUGUGAGAGCUUCCACAUUGGAGUUUCAUCUGGGGGAGUAACGCAUCCUCUGGGCACUGCAGGUUGA
Molecule: long non-coding RNA, 404 nt
Filed under: Numida meleagris (helmeted guineafowl)
Lineage: Eukaryota; Metazoa; Chordata; Aves; Galliformes; Numididae
Description: lncRNA (ENSNMEG00000007512.1)
Source: RNAcentral